UCCUUCCCACCUAGAGCAGCUUUGAUUUCAGCCCUCCAGAAAAACGGUUUGGUAGUGGGGAAACAGGACCGCGGAGACCCGUCAUGCCGCCCGUGACUACCCAUUGUGAAAGCUUAAAAAAAAUGCUCCCUGUCGGCCUUCCCUUUUUUCCCCUCCCCCUGAUCCGGCAUCACUUCCGUCCUCUGUCCCCGCGAAAAGGGCGGGGCGCAGCAAGCGCUACCAGUCCCUUCCUAGUCCCUGGAGCUAGGGUGGGGUGCGCUAGCUAAACUGCCCCGUGGAAGUCCCAGCAGGGCGCGGCCUCUAACGAGGGAAAUUAGCCCCAAGCCUCCGGCCCACAGUCCCCGCCUCACGGACCUCCUCACAGGCGUGUCCUGCUCACGUGGCCUCGGGGCGGGCCUGCCUGGAGCACGUGCCUAGCGCGUCAGCAUAAAGGUGCCUGCGAGGCCCGGCGAGCCAGGAUAAGAACGUCCAAUGCGGUCGCCGUGGCGUGCGCUGCCCCAUUUUUUAUGGAGCAUGUGUCGUCCGUGAUCCCGUCAACCUCUGCGACCGUGGGAGCUUACGUGGCCGCGGUGGAGACGUGCAAGACACAGAGUAAACAAAGUGGCCCCGAGUGGUAAACAAGCGUGGCUAACCACGAAGCAAAGCAAGCAUCCAAUCAAAUAUCAACCAAUCCGGGGGCAAAGCUGGAAAACGGAGACUUCUUGUGGGGGCGGGGACAAGAUGCGGAGCUCGGCCGGAACGCAGUGGGCUGCAAGACCUUGAUCUGGUGGGGGGCAGGGAGAGGAAGGUGGCCCCUUGGGUGCAUUGGGAAAAACCUUAGCUUUGCAGUCGGAACAUCCGAGUACCGGACAGCAGCAGCUGUGAGCCUGGGAAAAUUACCAAAUUUAUAGCCUCGUUUGAUGGUCUGUAAAGUGGGCAAGGUAUUUGGCAAUGCCUGCCUCGGUAUCCGGAGCAAAAUGCUUUCAAACCAGACGCCCAGAGGGUUUCUUCCUAGCACUUUUGGUUGGUGCAUCCCUUCCCACACAACUGGGAUUAGUGGUAGGCAGCUGCUGGGGUGCCUUUUGGGAGUGAUGCACGAUAGGGAUAAUUGUUCAUGGUUUUACAAAGCACAUUUUUGAAUUCCAGAAACCCCAUCCCCUUGUAUCAAAAUGAAUGCUCAAGGCCUUCAGGUGGAUGAUUCGGGGGAGAACAAACUCGGGGUGAACGAUUUACCUUGGUAUCUGAACUGAAAUUAAAUUUUCAGUCACAGGCCUUGGAAACUCCUCCAAGUUGAUGGCCCCAAUUACCACCACCAUCAACAGAGUUAAAGACAAAACCUGAAGAGAGAUUCAGGGCUGGCAAGCUAAUCUACCUGAGGAAGCAGUGUAUCCUGAGAGAGGAGGCAGACUGUAUGAAACCACCACCAUUUUGAUCUUCAUCACCCAACAUCUCUAAUGGAGACAGAAUACCAAGAAAGCAUCACCAUACAGCACGGAAAGAAAUAUUGAAAACAAAUCAACAGCCACACACUUUCGACUCCCCCCGCCCCCAGGACCCAGUCAGAGCCAUAGAGGAGUGGGUGAUUGUCAGGUUUGGGAGUUGGGGGGUAGGGUCAGGAAGAGGAUGGAAUACCAAGUUAAGUUUUCCACGCCACUUCCUCAGACCUGGGUUGGGGAGGGACACAAGAGAAUCCAGAUUCUCCAUUAAAAAUAAUCCAGCCCCACCCAAUCCUAUCCCUCCUACCAAUGUUUCAAGGAAGGGGAGCAGAAGGGAAAGCUAAGAAUUUCCAGGUUCCACCCCCUAUUCAUGGAACCCUAAAUUCACCCUCUACCCACCUCAAGGGAUCCUGAA
This is a long non-coding RNA of Sarcophilus harrisii (Tasmanian devil), 1830 nucleotides long. RefSeq lists it as uncharacterized. The record is from RefSeq and is a predicted model, not a curated record. The transcript has 3 exons. Lineage: Eukaryota; Metazoa; Chordata; Mammalia; Dasyuromorphia; Dasyuridae.